This 253-nucleotide ribosomal RNA is filed under the name uncultured bacterium. RNAcentral's name for it is "partial 16S ribosomal RNA". It matches the Rfam family "Bacterial small subunit ribosomal RNA", at positions 524 to 776 of the family's 1533-position model. The record is from RNAcentral.
UACGAAGGGGGCUAGCGUUGUUCGGAAUUACUGGGCGUAAAGCGCACGUAGGCGGCGAUUCAAGUCCGAGGUGAAAGCCCGGGGCUCAACCCCGGAACUGCCUUUGAAACUAGGUUGCUAGAAUCUUGGAGAGGCGAGUGGAAUUCCGAGUGUAGAGGUGAAAUUCGUAGAUAUUCGGAAGAACACCAGUGGCGAAGGCGACUCGCUGGACAAGUAUUGACGCUGAGGUGCGAAAGCGUGGGGAGCAAACAGG